Molecule: transfer RNA, 71 nt
Filed under: Saccharolobus solfataricus
Lineage: Archaea; Thermoproteati; Thermoproteota; Thermoprotei; Sulfolobales; Sulfolobaceae
Description: tRNA-Glu
Source: RNAcentral
AUCUUUCUUAGAAAACAGAAUACGGCGGGCCUUUCGAGCCCGUGACCCGGGUUCAAAUCCCGGCCGCGGCA